GCCCAAACUCCUACGGGAGGCAGCAGUAGGGAAUCUUCCACAAUGGACGCAAGUCUGAUGGAGCAACGCCGCGUGAGUGAAGAAGGCUUUCGGGUCGUAAAACUCUGUUGUUGGAGAAGAAUGGUCGGCAGAGUAACUGUUGUCGGCGUGACGGUAUCCAACCAGAAAGCCACGGCUAACUACGUGCCAGCAGCCGCGGUAAUACGUAGGUGGCAAGCGUUAUCCGGAUUUAUUGGGCGUAAAGCGAGCGCAGGCGGUUUUUUAAGUCUGAUGUGAAAGCCCUCGGCUUAACCGAGGAAGCGCAUCGGAAACUGGGAAACUUGAGUGCAGAAGAGGACAGUGGAACUCCAUGUGUAGCGGUGAAAUGCGUAGAUAUAUGGAAGAACACCAGUGGCGAANGCGGCUGUCUGGUCUGUAACUGACGCUGAGGCUCGAAAGCAUGGGUAGCGAACAGGAUUAGAUACCCUGGUAGUCCAUGCCGUAAACGAUGAAUGCUAGGUGUUGGAGGGUUUCCGCCCUUCAGUGCCGCAGCUAACGCAUUAAGCAUUCCGCCUGGGGAGUACGACCGC
RNAcentral lists this ribosomal RNA (569 nucleotides) under bacterium 1184-2. Its description in RNAcentral is "bacterial SSU rRNA". It matches the Rfam family "Bacterial small subunit ribosomal RNA", at positions 329 to 889 of the family's 1533-position model. The record is from RNAcentral.